This is a long non-coding RNA of Bos grunniens (domestic yak), 2746 nucleotides long. Lineage: Eukaryota; Metazoa; Chordata; Mammalia; Artiodactyla; Bovidae. The record is from Ensembl.
GGGGCUAGGGGAAGCGAUUGACGGUGUUGCCUUCAGUUAAAUCCCGGAGAAUGUGCCAGGCUGGUGCAUCACCACCGAGUCCCGGAAUCUCGUUACCCUGCCUGCGUACCCGUCUGCUGUUGCCUUGCGAUCCCUGUUCUCUGGUCCCCGCCGAAUAAGUUAUGAUCGCUGCAGAAGAGGUGUCCCAUUGCUUGGGGCUGCAGACGUGAGAGAGCUCAGGGCAAGUUUCAGGGGCUGCCGGGGUCCAUGGCGACCCCGCGGGGCUCAGGAGCGCAAGGCUUCAGAUGCAUCUCGGCUUUCUGAGCUCGCCCAUCUUCCUCAGGCCAGGACUCCUUCAGGACCACUGCAGCAGGAAAAGACAGGAGAAAUUCCUUGAGCGGUUUACACAGCCGAGAGGGAGCAGUCCUGGCCUCACUGCAAGAUAUGUCCUCUUUCUACUGGGCAGGAGACAGUUUUAUUUAUAUUCAUAAGCUUGGGGAACAGAGCCUCAGAGAGCUGCGGCUUGCUACAGAAUAAUAGUAGCGCCAAGUUGUACAUACAGGUAUCCAGUACUUACUGCUCCCAUUCUCUGGUUUUUCCUUCUUCCUCCUGCUUCUGUUUCCCCAGCUUAUUUGAAUCUCAGAAACCAGCUAUACAUUUCACUCUAGAGCCCAGCUGGGGAGGUGGAGUUAAUCAGAUUUUCUCCAAGCUAUCGGACUUUAGUGGAUUAAUAGCCUCUGCAGGAUUUUCUGGCUGAUUUGAACUGGCUGGGACACUGGGGUCUCUCUCUCUCCCAGCCUACUGAAAGGAGGUAACCCCUCCUUCUUGCCUAGUAGCUUUAGGAAUUCCUUCUUUUGAGUUUUUGGAGGCUGAAUAGCCUCCAAAAUAGCCUCAAAAAUUCUCCCUAGAAUAGUUCUUAACAGCUUAUUUCUCUCCAAGCUCAGGCUUUCUCUGAGCAAAGAAGUCUGGAAAACUUUGUCCACCAGUCUCCUAUCAGCAGGGAUUCGCCCCCUACUUUCCACGCUGUUACAGCACACCCUUCAUUACUUCCUUUUCUAUUGGCUCCCCCACACCAGAACAGUGAUGAGUUGUUUAGAACUCCCAUGAAAUUCUGACUAGUGACUGAGUAGGAAAUUUUGCUUUGAAGGUGAAUAUUCACAUGAGUCUGAUACAAAUUUAUAUUGUCAGUCUGUUAUCUAUCUACUCCUAUCUAUCUAUCUAUCAGUAACCUUGGUUAGUAUGCCUUCAAUGCACCAGGCACUGUUGUGCACUUCACAUAAUCUCAUUUACUUCUUACAGUCAUACCUUGAAAUAAAUAUUAUCUUUGUGAAUGUGUUCCUAUACUUCUUUAUGUGCCCACCUUGAGUUUGCUUGGAAAAGACAAGCACACAUAUUUCUGUGGAUAUAAACUGGCCUAUCCCACCUGCCUAAUUCUGAAGUGAAUGUGAAAUGUAUAUGUGUAUUUGUACACUUGGGUUUGUGAAUAGGUUUCUGUCCACAUAGACGUAUAUGUUUGUAUCCAUCUGUGUCAUUGCUGUGCCCGUGGAGGUACUGAAGUAAACUGUGAGCUGGCAACUUUGUUUUUGCUCCUGACCUGGCUAGGAAGCUGCAGGCAGGUAGGGAUGCUGUGUGUACAGUUAGUUUUUCUUUUCUUUUAGGAGAUGCUGUGUGUGUGUGUGUGUGUGUGGUGUUGCUGUUUAUGGGUGUGAAUGGCUCUAAGACUGUGGCCUCUGCAGGAGAUGAGAGUAAUUAUUGCCUGUUUUCUAGUAGGCUUCUGUUUAAUGUGAGGCUUCUACUUUUAUUUAACUAGCACACAUAACCUGAGUAUGUGCCAAGCAUUGGGGAUGUAAUAAUACAUAAGAUAACUAGUACUUUGUACCUCUGGGACAUAUGGUCACUUCAGAUUUACAGUGGUAAAAGUUUCUCAUUUUUACUUCAUACCUCACAUAUUUCUUAUGCCUUAAACAGUAUACCCAGAUCUUCCUGUCUUGUGUAUGUCACUUUUGCAAAUAAAAACCAUGACCUCCAUGGUCAGGGAUUUUUGUUCUUAUUUUCUCUCAGCUUUAAAAAACCUGGAUGACAUUGGAUAAAUGACCAAACCUCUCUGGCCUAAGUCAAACAAAGAUAGUCAUGCCCACUCCUCUCCCAAUAAGAAGCUGCAUAGAAGCAAUGGCAUUCAAGUCUAAUCUUAGGGUGACCACCAUACUCUGAAACAGAACUCUUAAUGGAGUGGGAUGGAUUGGCUUCAGUUGAUGGUCUUUUGCUAUUAGUGAACAUCCUUUGUAGCCUAAGUCCAGUACUUUAUUGGUCCCUUAUAGGCCCCAGUAGCCAGAUUUGAACUCCUCCAAAUAUGACUAAAUUAUGACAUGCACUGAGACCUUAUUUUAUUACUAGAGGAGACACAUUCUUUCAUUAACUCAACAAACACUUAUUGAACAUUUACUUCAUGUCAGGCACUGCUCUAGACACUGGGUAUACAGCACAGAAUAAAACAGGUAAAUAUCCCUCUUCCAUUGGAGAAUAUCUUCUAGCAGAUGGAGACAGAAGAUAAAUAAGUAAAUUAUGAUGUAUUAGGCAAUAAUAAGGAUUAAAAAGGAAAAAGCAGGGUAAAGGGUCAGAGACCAACUCUGAGAUGGUCUUUUACAUAGGGUAGUCAGAUCACGUUUCCCAGGUAACACUAGUAAAGAAUCUGCCUGCAAAGUAGGAGACGUCGAUUUGAUCCCUGGAUUGCCAAGAUCCUCCGGAGAAGGAAAUGGCAACCCAUUCC